UACGGAGGGUGCAAGCGUUAUCCGGAUUCACUGGGUUUAAAGGGUGCGUAGGCGGGUAUGUAAGUCCGUGGUGAAAUCUCCGAGCUUAACUCGGAAACUGCCAUGGGUACUGCGUAUCUUUACUGUUUUGGAGGUGAGCGGAAUAUGUCAUGUAGCGGUGAAAUGCUUAGAUAUGACAUAGAACACCACUUGCGAAGGCGGCUCACUACACAAAUAUUGACGCUGUGGCACGAAAGCGUGGGGAUCAAACA
This 251-nucleotide ribosomal RNA is filed under the name uncultured Chitinophagaceae bacterium. Its description in RNAcentral is "partial 16S ribosomal RNA". It matches the Rfam family "Bacterial small subunit ribosomal RNA", at positions 524 to 774 of the family's 1533-position model. Lineage: Bacteria; Pseudomonadati; Bacteroidota; Chitinophagia; Chitinophagales; Chitinophagaceae. The record is from RNAcentral.